Molecule: ribosomal RNA, 252 nt
Filed under: uncultured bacterium
Lineage: Bacteria
Description: partial 16S ribosomal RNA
Rfam family: Bacterial small subunit ribosomal RNA
Source: RNAcentral
UCUCCUACGGGAGGCAGCAGCCGCGGUAAUCCCGAGGUUGCGAGCGUUAUCCGGAUUUAUUGGGUUUAAAGGGUGCGUAGGCGGACUGUCAAGUCAGCGGUAAAAUUGAGAGGCUCAACCUCUUCCCGCCGUUGAAACUGGUGGUCUUGAGUGGAUGAGAGGUACGCGGAAUGCGUGGUGUAGCGGUGCAAUGCAUAGAUAUCACGCAGCACUCCGAUUGCGAAGGCAGCGUACCGGCAUCCAACUGACGCU